This is a long non-coding RNA of Tachyglossus aculeatus (Australian echidna), 180 nucleotides long. RefSeq lists it as uncharacterized. The record is from RefSeq and is a predicted model, not a curated record. The transcript has 3 exons. Lineage: Eukaryota; Metazoa; Chordata; Mammalia; Monotremata; Tachyglossidae.
UGGCUCCUGCAAUUCAUCAAUGGUCCAGCAUCAAUAUAAUGAAGGGGACCCAGAUGAUAUAAUACAGAACCUUCUCACCAACCUUUCUGGCCAUGAAGACUACCACUCCUUUAGUGAGGACCCAGAGCAGCUGAUCCCCAUGGAGAUGAGGAAUCAAGAGUGGAGCUUCCAUCUAUAAGG